AGCACUAUAUUUAAACCUAUGAUGAGAUUUUCCUCAUUCUUGGUUACGCUGUAGUGCAAAAGAAUUCCUGGCUCUUUCUGUUGCACAGCUGAUAUGUGACAUUCAGUUGUUGCAUUGUGGAGUUAAGGGACAUGA
Molecule: small nucleolar RNA, 135 nt
Organism: Dipodomys ordii (Ord's kangaroo rat)
Lineage: Eukaryota; Metazoa; Chordata; Mammalia; Rodentia; Heteromyidae
Source: Ensembl